AUGCAAGAAGGCAGGUUACACAGGAGCAAGUGGAGGAAAGCAGACCUCAGUGCUCUGCCAUCUGUGAAGCUCAGCCUAAGGGUGACCUUCAGGAGCCCCCUCACUGUGACCAGGAGUGGGAAGCCCUGGGCCUCUCCUUCCUGUUCAGGAGGCAGUGGAGCUGAGCCUGUGUUGCAGCUGCUCCCUCAGGUGGUCAUUACAAAUGGUGGAGUCCUCCAGGUGCUGGCUAAGGUUCCGGAUUUCACCAAGAUGCUCCUGUGGCAGGAGCCUGAACUGAGUCACCACACUGAACUCACAGACCUGCAGGAGGAGAUGGAAGAAAGAAAAUCAGCAGGUUUUGAGGAUGAGAAGAACCCAAGUAAUGGCAGAGGAGGUGCUGUGCAAGAGAGCUGCAUGGCCUUUCCUGGCUCCAUGGCCCUGGUUCCAGCCAGAUUCGGGGCUCUCAGGGUGCAGAUGACACCCGGACUCCAUGUUGCCUUAAAGCAGUCCACACUGCCCAGGUCUCCAGAGAAAACCGCAAAGAUCUGUAACUCCGACUAUGUCUUGGGGAAGUGGAGAAAUAAUGAGAUUGCUGCAGUAGCAUCCAGGACUGUCAGUGGAAGUGGGGAAUGA
RNAcentral lists this long non-coding RNA (612 nucleotides) under Sus scrofa (pig). Its description in RNAcentral is "lncRNA (ENSSSCG00070004902.1)". The record is from RNAcentral. Lineage: Eukaryota; Metazoa; Chordata; Mammalia; Artiodactyla; Suidae.